AUACUUACCUGGCAGGGGAGAUACCAUGAUCACGAAGGUGGUUUUCCCAGGGCGAGGCUUAUCCAUUGCACUCCGGAUGUGCUGACCUCUGCGAUUUCCCCAAAUGCGGGAAACUCGACUGCAUAAUUUGUGGUAGUGGGGGACUGCGUUCGCGCUCUCCCCUG
Molecule: small nuclear RNA, 164 nt
Organism: Oryctolagus cuniculus (rabbit)
Lineage: Eukaryota; Metazoa; Chordata; Mammalia; Lagomorpha; Leporidae
Gene: U1
Rfam family: U1 spliceosomal RNA
About the family: U1 is a small nuclear RNA (snRNA) component of the spliceosome (involved in pre-mRNA splicing). Its 5' end forms complementary base pairs with the 5' splice junction, thus defining the 5' donor site of an intron.
Source: Ensembl